UACGAGGGGGGCGAGCGUUGUUCGGAAUUAUUGGGCGUAAAGGGCGCGUAGGCGGUUUGGUAAGUCUGAUGUGAAAUCUAUGGGCUCAACUCAUAGUCUGCAUCGGAAACUGCCGGGCUUGAGUAUGGGAGAGGUGAGUGGAAUUCCUGGUGUAGCGGUGAAAUGCGUAGAUAUCAGGAGGAACACCUGUGGCGAAAGCGGCUCACUGGACCAUAACUGACGCUGAUGCACGAAAGCUAGGGGAGCAAACAGG
RNAcentral lists this ribosomal RNA (253 nucleotides) under uncultured bacterium. RNAcentral's name for it is "partial 16S ribosomal RNA". It matches the Rfam family "Bacterial small subunit ribosomal RNA", at positions 524 to 776 of the family's 1533-position model. The record is from RNAcentral.